This 727-nucleotide ribosomal RNA is filed under the name uncultured bacterium. Its description in RNAcentral is "bacterial SSU rRNA". It matches the Rfam family "Bacterial small subunit ribosomal RNA", at positions 71 to 771 of the family's 1533-position model. The record is from RNAcentral.
UCGGAGUGCUUGCACUCUGUGAAACAAGAUACAGGCUAGCGGCGGACGGGUGAGUAACACGUGGGUAACCUGCCCAAGAGAUCGGGAUAACACCUGGAAACAGAUGCUAAUACCGGAUAACAACAGAUGAUGCCUAUCAACUGUUUAAAAGAUGGUUCUGCUAUCACUCUUGGAUGGACCUGCGGUGCAUUAGCUAGUUGGUAGGGUAACGGCCUACCAAGGCGAUGAUGCAUAGCCGAGUUGAGAGACUGAUCGGCCACAUUGGGACUGAGACACGGCCCAAACUCCUACGGGAGGCAGCAGUAGGGAAUCUUCCACAAUGGACGCAAGUCUGAUGGAGCAACGCCGCGUGAGUGAAGAAGGGUUUCGGCUCGUAAAGCUCUGUUGUUGGUGAAGAAGGACAGGGGUAGUAACUGACCUUUGUUUGACGGUAAUCAAUUAGAAAGUCACGGCUAACUACGUGCCAGCAGCCGCGGUAAUACGUAGGUGGCAAGCGUUGUCCGGAUUUAUUGGGCGUAAAGCGAGUGCAGGCGGCUCGAUAAGUCUGAUGUGAAAGCCUUCGGCUCAACCGGAGAAUUGCAUCAGAAACUGUCGAGCUUGAGUACAGAAGAGGAGAGUGGAACUCCAUGUGUAGCGGUGAAAUGCGUAGAUAUAUGGAAGAACACCGGUGGCGAAGGCGGCUCUCUGGUCUGUUACUGACGCUGAGGCUCGAAAGCAUGGGUAGCGA